CGUCAAGAAGCUAAAUUCCAGCAUUAACCUUUUAAGUUAAAGAUUGGGAACUCCAACCUCCCCUUGAUGA
Molecule: transfer RNA, 70 nt
Filed under: Chodsigoa hoffmanni
Lineage: Eukaryota; Metazoa; Chordata; Mammalia; Eulipotyphla; Soricidae
Description: tRNA-Lys
Source: RNAcentral